UCUCGGCAAAAUAUCCUCAUAAGUUAGACGAUAUGAAGAACCACUGGAUGCUAUUACUCCGUCCCCAAUGGGGCUUGUUUUAUUAAGGUUAGCUUUAAUAAGAUAGAAUUUUCAUAAGCUUAGCAAUAGUUAAGUUUAUAUAAGGAAGUGUAAACCUCCCCUUUAGUUUUUGUGGCGUAUGCCACAAUAUUUCUAUAGGCUAGGUUGCUUUGUGUAUCACCAUUUUGGUAAUCCAGGGCCUUAGUAGCAUUUAAGUGGUGGCACAGAAUCGGAGGCCCCGACUGUUUACUUAAAACACAGCUUUCUGCGACGAAUAAUAUCUUUGUAUAGAAAGCGAAUUUUGCCCAAUGCCAUUAAUAUAAGGUCGAUAAGCGCUUAGCGUAAUUAUUGGCUGAAGUUCUGGUCAAUGGCGGUCUUAUCUAUGAGGAUCCUAAGGUAGCAAAAUUAAUUGUCCAUUAAAUGUGGUCCUGACUGAAUAAAGUAACGAUGGUCUCGCUGUCUCUACAAGUAUCUCAGUGAAAUUGAAUUAGCCGUGCAGAUGCGGUUUAACUUCGGGUAGACGGGAAGACCCUAUGCAG
This 578-nucleotide ribosomal RNA is filed under the name uncultured Tulasnella. RNAcentral describes it as "LSU rRNA". It matches the Rfam family "Bacterial large subunit ribosomal RNA", at positions 1712 to 2098 of the family's 2925-position model. The record is from RNAcentral. Lineage: Eukaryota; Fungi; Basidiomycota; Agaricomycetes; Cantharellales; Tulasnellaceae.